Molecule: long non-coding RNA, 101 nt
Organism: Rhagoletis zephyria (snowberry fruit fly)
Lineage: Eukaryota; Metazoa; Arthropoda; Insecta; Diptera; Tephritidae
Source: RefSeq, a predicted model, not a curated record
AUACAUACCCAUAAAUAUUCGCAGCGCUCACAAUGAUGCUGUAUCAUUUUUAAUGCUUGCUUGGAAUCAGCUGAAGGCAAGUGUAACAGCGAAAUGUUGGA